This 56-nucleotide transfer RNA is filed under the name Caretta caretta (loggerhead turtle). Its description in RNAcentral is "partial tRNA-Pro". It matches the Rfam family "tRNA", at positions 7 to 62 of the family's 71-position model. Rfam says of the family: Transfer RNA (tRNA) molecules are approximately 80 nucleotides in length. Lineage: Eukaryota; Metazoa; Chordata; Testudines; Cheloniidae. The record is from RNAcentral.
GUAGUUUAAUUGGAAGAUUCCGGUUUUGGGGACCGGAGAUGAAGGUUUGAACCCUU